AGAGUAAAAUUAAUGGGAAAUAGAGGUGUUCAGAGACUUAACAUGUCUCUGGAGUGUUCGUUUUUUCUUUUUUGUAUUUUUAACAGUAUAAGCACUUGUAAGUAGUAAAAAUAAUUAUGGUGGCUGGAUUUUGACACUUGGAGAGGAAAACUUACAAGCAAUGUCUAGUAACAAGCAGCUAGUAACUAAGUAUAUGCUGAGACAUUGGAAAUAUUGAAGAGCUUGGAAACAAUUGCAAUUUAAAAUCCUAGGUUCAGAAUCGGGAAGACUUUUUUUUUUUUUUAAUUUGAGAUAUCCCUUUAAGAGUCAUCUGGUGCAAUUCAUAGCCUGAUUCAUGCUGCUGGCGGCCUCUGAUUUCAGUAAUAAAUGCAGAAAUUUAUAGGGGACUGUAAAAUGUGGACAGGUUUUUGCUUUUCUAAACUGAGGUUUAAACUAGCAAACUUCUGAAGGUUUAAGAAGCCACAGAGCUGAGCAAUGGGGAUCUGGUUUCUUUUCCGGUCAGAGCAAAUAAACACACAAACACAUAUUUAACUCACAGAGUGUUGGAAGAGAGAAACCAGUGUUCUUUUUAAAGAAGGAAAACAAAAACUCAACCUUGUGGGCAACAGGAGGAAAGUCACACUGGCCGGCAGGCAGCACCCUGCGUUGGCAGAGGAGAAAUCUGAGCUCCAGCGGCACCGGCGGCAUUUGCACAGAGCCACAGCCUCCCGUUUCAAGUUGCAAGUCUCUGGAGUCCCAGGCAAGGCCCCAGCCUGGCUCCCUUCUCAGAGCCCCGAGAACUGAUGAGGAGCCCCUGCACCAACCACAGGACACGCAGAAAAGUCUGAACCUGGCCGUGAAUUGAGAGUGAGGAAUUGAGGGAGAGGAAGACAGCAAAGACAACUCCCAGAAUUCUGACUCAAGGUUUACUUAUCAACUCAAAUUUUGACAAGGAAAGGAGGGUCCUGCCUCUGGCGGCUCAGGAUGGCUCCCCAAUCCUGCCUGCGCUCUGGGAGCCCCACCUCUCUCUCCUGGACCCUCUGCUCUGAUGUCAGCCCACGCGUCCUCCAGCGCAUGGAAAAAUAUCGCAGUCUUUCCCAUCUAAAACCAAAAUGCUUCCACACUAUCUGUCCCUCUCCACUCAGCCUCCAUUCCCCUUUUCAUUUUCUUUCCUAGUCAAGCUUCCAGAAGGAAAAUCCCCUGAGUAUUCAUGCUUCUCUCCUGCGGGGACUUCCUACCCUCUGUUGUCUGGCUUUUGUUCCCACUGUUCAAUAAACCACUGCUGGAUAGAGUCA
Dama dama (fallow deer) is the source of this 1274-nucleotide long non-coding RNA. RefSeq lists it as uncharacterized. NCBI's taxonomy places the organism in Eukaryota, Metazoa, Chordata, Mammalia, Artiodactyla, Cervidae. The transcript has 4 exons. The record is from RefSeq and is a predicted model, not a curated record.